Molecule: ribosomal RNA, 253 nt
Filed under: uncultured bacterium
Lineage: Bacteria
Description: partial 16S ribosomal RNA
Rfam family: Bacterial small subunit ribosomal RNA
Source: RNAcentral
UACGUAGGGGGCAAGCGUUGUCCGGAUUUAUUGGGCGUAAAGAGCGUGUAGGCGGCCAGGUAGGUCUGCUGUGAAAACUCGAGGCUUAACCUCGAGAUGUCGGCGGAAACCAUCUGGCUAGAGUCCGGAAGAGGAGAGUGGAAUUCCUGGUGUAGCGGUGAGAUGCGCAGAUAUCAGGAAGAACACCCGUGGCGAAGGCGGCUCUCUGGGACGGUACUGACGCUGAGACGCGAAAGCGUGGGGAGCGAACAGG